RNAcentral lists this unclassified non-coding RNA (440 nucleotides) under Hevea brasiliensis (rubber tree). The record is from RNAcentral. Lineage: Eukaryota; Viridiplantae; Streptophyta; Magnoliopsida; Malpighiales; Euphorbiaceae.
AGAUGCACAAAGCUCAUGCCUAAAUGACACAUCUAAUGCAACAAAGAUCAGUGUUUAAAAUGAAAUCCACCAAACAGAAGUAAGAUUUUAAAAUCAUUUUUUUUUUCUAUUUUUCAAAGCUUUUCUUCUUUCUAAUUCUAGCCAAAUAUGAGCUCUGGAAUUUUCACUCUUGCGUUAGUUUUUGAGAAUCUAGUUCAAAAAUGUUGACAGUAAUUACAUAUCAAAGGUUAAUAUUUACUGAGAAACUUCUUGAAAUCAAACUUUUUCUAAUUCCUACAAAAUUCCUUAUCAUUUUUUUUUUUCACUUGUUCACUUGGUAAUUUACAUAAAGCUUAUCAACUCAUAGAAUUCAUGCCGUCACCUCUGAACUCUAAAAAUGAAUUCUCAUAUAGUAAAAUUCAAAGUUGCCUGCUUGUGAGUGGGAUUGCCUUACUUUUCUA